RNAcentral lists this ribosomal RNA (400 nucleotides) under phytoplankton environmental sample. RNAcentral describes it as "partial small subunit ribosomal RNA". It matches the Rfam family "Eukaryotic small subunit ribosomal RNA", at positions 587 to 988 of the family's 1831-position model. The record is from RNAcentral.
AGCUCCAAUAGCGUAUAUUAAAGUUGUUGCAGUUAAAAAGCUCGUAGUUGGAUUUCUGGCAGGAGUGACCGGUCACACACUCUGUGUGUGAACUCGCGUUGUCUCUGGCCAUCCUUGGGGAGAUCCUGUUUGGCAUUAAGUUGUCGGGCAGGGGAUACCCAUCGUUUACUGUGAAAAAAUUAGAGUGUUUAAAGCAGGCUUAUGCCGUUGAAUAUAUUAGCAUGGAAUAAUAAGAUAGGACUUCGGAACUAUUUUGUUGGUUUGCGUUACGAAGUAAUGAUUAAUAGGGACAGUUGGGGGUAUUCGUAUUUCGUUGUCAGAGGUGAAAUUCUUGGAUUUCCGAAAGACGAACUACUGCGAAAGCAUUUACCAAGGAUGUUUUCAUUAAUCAAGAACGAAA